This 505-nucleotide ribosomal RNA is filed under the name Physella acuta. RNAcentral describes it as "partial 16S ribosomal RNA". It matches the Rfam family "Bacterial large subunit ribosomal RNA", at positions 1806 to 2596 of the family's 2925-position model. The record is from RNAcentral. Lineage: Eukaryota; Metazoa; Mollusca; Gastropoda; Physidae.
AUCAAAAACAUAGUCGGCAGAUGAACUAAAUUUUUAUUGUCGAUAUCUUCUGCCCGGUGUUUAUAUAAACGGCCGCAGUACCUUGACUGUGCUAAGGUAGCAUAAUCAAUUGGCUAUUAAUUGUAGUCUAGUAUGAAUGAAGUAAUGAAUAGUAGCUAUAAUAAAAAAUAUUAUUUUAAUUUAAUGAACUGGUGAAAAUACCAGUAUAUAGAAAAAAGACGAGAAGACCCUUAGAGUUUUUGAAAUAAAGAUUGUUUAAGACUUUAAUUUAGACUACUCUUAAAGUAAUUAUACAAUACACUUUUUUGUUGGGGCGACAAGAAAGCAAUAUAACCUUUCUAUUGACACUAAAAGUGGUAAUAGACCUGACGAUAUUAUUAUGAAUGACUAAACUACCUGAGGGAUAACAGCAUAAUGAUAAAUAUUAGUUUGUGACCUCGAUGUUGGACUAGGGACUUGUACACUAACCGAGAUAAAAGCUUGUUCUGUUCGAACAAUAAACCCC